UGCAGUCGAGCGAAUGACGAGAAGCUUGCUUCUCUGAUUUAGCGGCGGACGGGUGAGUAACACGUGGGCAACCUGCCCUACAGAUCGGGAUAACUCAGGGAAACCUGGGCUAAUACCGGAUAAUCCUUCGAAUCACAUGUUUUGAAGUUGAAAGGCGCUUCGGCGUCACUGUAGGAUGGGCCCGCGGUGCAUUAGCUAGUUGGUGGGGUAACGGCCUACCAAGGCAACGAUGCAUAGCCGACCUGAGAGGGUGAUCGGCCACAUUGGGACUGAGACACGGCCCAAACUCCUACGGGAGGCAGCAGUAGGGAAUCUUCCACAGUGGACGAAAGUCUGAUGGAGCAACGCCGCGUGAGUGAUGAAGGUUUUCGGAUCGUAAAACUCUGUUGUAAGGGAAGAACAAGUACGUUAGGAAAUGAACGUACCUUGACGGUACCUUAUUAGAAAGCCACGGCUAACUACGUGCCAGCAGCCGCGGUAAUACGUAGGUGGCAAGCGUUGUCCGGAUUUAUUGGGCGUAAAGCGCGCGCAGGUGGUUUCUUAAGUCUGAUGUGAAAGCCCACGGCUCAACCGUGGAGGGUCAUUGGAAACUGGGGAACUUGAGUGCAGAAGAGGAUAGUGGAAUUCCAAGUGUAGCGGUGAAAUGCGUAGAGAUUUGGAGGAACACCAGUGGCGAAGGCGACUGUCUGGUCUGUAACUGACACUGAGGCGCGAAAGCGUGCGGAGCAAACAGGAUUAGAUACCCUGGUAGUCCACGCCGUAAACGAUGAGUGCUAAGUGUUAGGGGGUU
This 790-nucleotide ribosomal RNA is filed under the name uncultured bacterium. RNAcentral describes it as "bacterial SSU rRNA". It matches the Rfam family "Bacterial small subunit ribosomal RNA", at positions 56 to 832 of the family's 1533-position model. The record is from RNAcentral.